Molecule: ribosomal RNA, 446 nt
Filed under: uncultured cyanobacterium
Lineage: Bacteria; Bacillati; Cyanobacteriota
Description: bacterial SSU rRNA
Rfam family: Bacterial small subunit ribosomal RNA
Source: RNAcentral
UACACAUGCAGUCGAACGGGCUCUUCGGAGCUAGUGGCGGACGGGUGAGUAACGCGUGAGGAUCUGCCCUUAGGACGGGGACAACAGCUGGAAACGGCUGCUAAUACCCGAUGUGCCGAGAGGUGAAACUAUUUGGCCUGAGGAUGAGCUCGCGUCUGAUUAGCUAGUUGGAGUGGUAACGGCACACCAAGGCGACGAUCAGUAGCUGGUCUGAGAGGAUGAUCAGCCACACUGGGACUGAGACACGGCCCAGACUCCUACGGGAGGCAGCAGUGGGGAAUUUUCCGCAAUGGGCGAAAGCCUGACGGAGCAAGACCGCGUGCGGGAGGAAGGUCUAUUGAUUGUAAACCGCUUUUGAUAGGGAAGAAGAUCUGACGGUACCUAUCGAAUCAGCAUCGGCUAACUCCGUGCCAGCAGACGCGGUAAUACGGGGGAUGCAAGCGUUA